Molecule: small RNA, 143 nt
Filed under: Flavobacterium caeni
Lineage: Bacteria; Pseudomonadati; Bacteroidota; Flavobacteriia; Flavobacteriales; Flavobacteriaceae
Description: Flavo-1 RNA
Rfam family: Flavo-1 RNA
Source: RNAcentral
CCCUACCCCGGAUAGAAGCGAAAAGCCUUUGCGUGAAAAACGUACAUUUUUGCCGAUGGAAAAAGCGACCGCAGGAAGCUAUUUUGCAGCGUGUCAAAAAUAACGUUUUUUAGCGAAGCCUGCAGCGGACAGCCGGAAUGGGU